Molecule: long non-coding RNA, 887 nt
Filed under: Phascolarctos cinereus (koala)
Lineage: Eukaryota; Metazoa; Chordata; Mammalia; Diprotodontia; Phascolarctidae
Description: lncRNA (ENSPCIG00000033292.1)
Source: RNAcentral
AAUAAAGUUUGUGCUGAUAUGGAAAACGAAUUCUUACAGUAGAAGGCAGAAAUAAAGAGUUAAUCAAUGAAUAUAACCACUUAAGAGAACAAAUGUGUAAAUAUGAAAAUGAGAAAGCAGAAAGAGAGAUACAAGCAGCAUUCCAAGAGAACUUAGAACAAUUAAGAGAAAUAACAAUGCUUCCCUAAGAAACCAAAUGGAGCAACGAAUUGGAGAUCUGGAAACUGAAAUCUCCAAAAUGAAAAGCUCAAGUCAAGAGUCUGCUGAGGCAAGCUAGCGAGAUACAGACAGCUUUAUUCUGAAGCAUUAAAAAGCACAAAAUCCUUGUCAGACAAAUUAGCCAGAAACAGUGAGAGGCUAACUGAGGUGAGUCAUCAACUCCAGAAAGAAAAACAAAAGAAUGAAAUUUUAAUCACCAGUUUUACUGCAAAUCCAGUUCUGGAGCCACCACAUGUUGCAAAUAUCAGUACCAAUAUGUUCCUCAGGAGAAGUCUUAUUUCCAGAGGAAAUUUAGGAUUUUCUACUAGAAUUACAUGUCUUCAGAAAGCAGCUUGCGGCCUACUUGGCAAGGAUGCAGCUGGAGUUGUUGGAAAGCAUGGAUAGGGAACUUGAUGAAGAUCUUUAAGCACUUCUCCAAUAGGAUCUCCAAAUGAAUCCACAAGAAUGCCAAAAAGGUGAAUCAUGAUCCAGAAAAAUCACAUCUUUAAAAGAAGAAAUAAUGUUCAUUCAGGCUGACUUCAGAAAAAUCUGGAAAGACUUGUGUGGUCUGAUGGUGAAUGAAGUGAGCAGAACCAAGAAAAUGUUGCACACAAUAACAGCCAUGUUGUAUGAUGACUAAUAUUGAUAAACUUAACUCUUCCCAGCAAUACAAGGAUCUAAGACAUCGC